CUUACGCUCUGUGUUUAUAAUUUCUUCAUCCAUAAAAUGAGAUUUAAAAUAUUCCCCAAAAUGACUAAGGCAUUUGGCAUAAUGUCGGUAAACAGUACAUUCUCACUGAACCCUAAUUUCUGUCCUUAUUAUUAAUAUCCCAUCACAGUUCAGCAAGGCCAGGAUAGGAAAAUAAGAAAAGGAAUCCCGUGAAAAUCUACACAGAUGGCAUAUUAAAAGGACAGAAAUAUUUCCAUUUAGGUACUAGCAGAAGGAAGCUUGUAUGCAUUCCAGGGCUUUCUGUUCCCAUUUCUUCUUUGGGGAUACGAUACGGAUAGAGGCCUACAGGAAGAAGACAUUUCCCAGCCUCCUUUCAUCUAUGUUGGGACCGUGUGACCUGUUGUCCACUAGAAUAUUAAAGCAUACAUAUACCAGAGUGUAUGCCUGCAUCAGGCUGAGCCAAUUCAACAAUGGUGCAACUUUCUUGCUCAGUGGAAAAAUGACCAAUUAG
Molecule: long non-coding RNA, 490 nt
Filed under: Callithrix jacchus (white-tufted-ear marmoset)
Lineage: Eukaryota; Metazoa; Chordata; Mammalia; Primates; Cebidae
Description: lncRNA (ENSCJAG00000081954.1)
Source: RNAcentral